UUGAUCCAGAGAUUUCCGAAUGGGACAACCCAAUAUCUUGAAGAGGUAUUAUCUUACUAUGUAAGAGGCUAACGCAGGGAACUGAAACAUCUUAGUACCUGCAGGAAAAGAAAAUAAACAAUGAUUCCCCCAGUAGUGGCGAGCGAACGGGGAACAGCCCAAACCAUCCAUGUUACGGCAUGGGUGGGGUUGUAGGACUACGCCGUUGCAUGAAGACAUCAGAGAAGAACUUUCUGGAAAGAAAGACCAUAGAGCAUGACAGUUGCGUAUUCGAAUGUUGUCGAAGCAUAGUAGUAUCCUGAGUAGCGCGGAGCACGAGGAAUUCUGCGUGAAUCUGCCGGGACCAUCCGGUAAGGCUAAAUACUCCCGAGAGACCGAUAGCGAACCAGUACCGUGAGGGAAAGGUGAAAAGCACUUCGAACAGAAGAGUGAAAUAGUUCCUGAAACCGUGCGCCUACAAGCGGUCGGAGCUCGUUAAUGAGUGACGGCGUGCCUUUUGCAUAAUGAACCUACGAGUUGCCUUUGCCGGCAAGGUUAAGUGUGACGACACACGUAUCCGAAGCGAAAGCGAGUCUGAACAGGGCGUAUAGUCGGCAGUGGCAGACGCGAAACCAAGUGAUCUACCCUUGGCCAGGUUGAAGGCUGGGUAACACCAGCUGGAGGACCGCACCAAUAAGCGUUGAAAAGCUUCUGGAUGAGCUGAGGGUAGGGGUGAAAGGCUAAUCAAACUUGGAGAUAGCUCGUACUCCCCGAAAUGCAUUUAGGUGCAGCCUUGCGGGUUACUGAUGUGAGGUAGAGCGACUGAUAAGAUGCGAGGGCUUCACCGCCUAUCAAGUCUUGACAAACUCCGAAUGCGCAUCAGUUCUACCGCAGGAGUGAGGGCAUGGGUGCUAAGGUCCGUGCCCGAGAGGAGAAGAAUCCGGACCACCUGCUAAGGUCCCGAAAUGACAGCUAAGUUAAACUAACGAAGUCUGACUGCUAAGACAGCUAGGAUGUUGGCUUGGAAGCAGCCAUUCAUUUAAAGAGUGCGUAACAGCUCACUAGUCGAGGAGUCGGGCGUGGAUAAUAAUCGGGUAUCAAGUUGUCUACCGAAGCAGUGGGAUCAUUAAUAUGAUCGGUAGGGGAGCAUUCCAGUCAGCGUCGAAGGCGUACCGUGAGGUAUUCUGGAGCGUCUGGAAAAGCAAAUGUAGGUAUAAGUAACGAUAAAGGGGGCGGGAAACCCCCUCGCCGAAAGACUAAGGUUUCCUGAUCAACGCUAAUCGGAUCAGGGUCAGUCGGGUCCUAAGGCUCAGCCGAACGGCGAUGCCGAUGGCAGAAACGGUUAAUAUUCCGUUACUACCUUCAGGAGUGACGUGGAGACGCAGUAGUGACAGUGCCGCCAUCUGACGGAAUAGAUGGUUGAAGGGUGUAGGAGUCGAUCAUGGCAGGCAAAUCCACCAUGAGAUCCGAACCUGACAGUAUGCCGCGUCCUUCGGGACAAGGCAAUAGUGCGCGUAAGCAUGCUGCCGAGAAAAUCCGCUAAACUUAAUCCUGCAGGUACCCGUACCGCAAACGGACACACGUAGUCGGGAUGAAUAUUCUAAGGCGCUUGAGUGAUUCACGGUUAAGGAACUAGGCAAACUGACCCUGUAACUUCGGGAUAAAGGGUCCCUACCCUUUUAUGGGAGGGCGCAGAGAAUCGGUCCAGGCAACUGUUUAACAAAAACACAGGGCUGUGCCAAAUCGAAAGAUCCAGUAUACAGCCUGACACCUGCCCGGUGCUGGAAGGUUAAGAGGAGAUGUCAUCGAUAAGAGAAGCGUUGAAUUGAAGCCCCAGUAAACGGCGGCCGUAACUAUAACGGUCCUAAGGUAGCGAAAUUCCUUGUCGGGUAAGUUCCGACCUGCACGAAUGGUGUAAUGAUCUGGACGCUGUCUCAACCGUGAGCUCAGUGAAAUUGUAGUAUCGGUGAAGAUGCCGAUUACCCGCGAUGGGACGAAAAGACCCCGUGAACCUUUACUAUAGCUUAUCAUUGAAUCUGGGCACGUGAUGUGUAGGAUAGGUCGGAGGCUUUGAAGCAGGUACGCCAGUAUUUGUGGAGCCGCUGUUGAAAUACGACCCUUUAUUUGUUUGGAUUCUAACCCGUGGAUACGGGGACAUUGAUUGGUGGGUAGUUUGACUGGGGUGGUCGCCUCCAAAAGCGUAACGGAGGCUUCU
This 2194-nucleotide ribosomal RNA is filed under the name human gut metagenome. RNAcentral describes it as "bacterial LSU rRNA". It matches the Rfam family "Bacterial large subunit ribosomal RNA", at positions 99 to 2311 of the family's 2925-position model. The record is from RNAcentral.